Molecule: ribosomal RNA, 434 nt
Filed under: Streptomyces griseoflavus
Lineage: Bacteria; Bacillati; Actinomycetota; Actinomycetes; Kitasatosporales; Streptomycetaceae
Description: bacterial SSU rRNA
Rfam family: Bacterial small subunit ribosomal RNA
Source: RNAcentral
GAAGCGCCGGCUAACUACGUGCCAGCAGCCGCGGUAAUACGUAGGGCGCGAGCGUUGUCCGGAAUUAUUGGGCGUAAAGAGCUCGUAGGCGGCUUGUCACGUCGGUUGUGAAAGCCCGGGGCUUAACCCCGGGUCUGCAGUCGAUACGGGCAGGCUAGAGUUCGGUAGGGGAGAUCGGAAUUCCUGGUGUAGCGGUGAAAUGCGCAGAUAUCAGGAGGAACACCGGUGGCGAAGGCGGAUCUCUGGGCCGAUACUGACGCUGAGGAGCGAAAGCGUGGGGAGCGAACAGGAUUAGAUACCCUGGUAGUCCACGCCGUAAACGGUGGGCACUAGGUGUGGGCGACAUUCCACGUCGUCCGUGCCGCAGCUAACGCAUUAAGUGCCCCGCCUGGGGAGUACGGCCGCAAGGCUAAAACUCAAAGGAAUUGACGGGG